Molecule: non-coding RNA, 23 nt
Filed under: Rattus norvegicus (Norway rat)
Lineage: Eukaryota; Metazoa; Chordata; Mammalia; Rodentia; Muridae
Source: RNAcentral
UGUCAGGAUUCCCAAGAGUGGUC